GGUGGAUUUAACAACAGAGCAGGGCAUGCUCAUAUAAAGGGUGAGUCAAAGUAAUCUGAAGAAUUGGGAAAUACAUCUUUGACGGCAUAUUAUGAAUGUCAAACAUUAUCAGGGUUAUUCACAAAGAUGUGAACUGUCACGAACGUUGGGGAAAUUUUCCAGGUCAGCUUUGUGUUCAGUCCAGCUAUUAAGUUAAAAUGAUUUUAAUUCCCAAUGAUUCACACUUUUGUGAAUUGCAUUAAAUGAUCCAGCGCAGGGAUUCAUUUACUAAAAUGAUUUUAAUUCCCAAUGAUUCACACUUUUGUGAAUUGCAUUAAAUGAUCCAGCGCAGGGAUUCAUUUACUAGCUAGGAGUGUGUCCAUCUAACUCAUUUUUCAAAUAGUGCAAAUUUCUAUAGAAAUUGGCUCUUUUAUAAAUUAACCUAGUUACUCCUCCCUGGCUAUCAAUCAGACAGCUGGUCCUGUUACUUCCUGGUUUGUUUAGCUCAGUGGAGCUAAACUCAAGA
Pelobates cultripes (western spadefoot toad) is the source of this 505-nucleotide non-coding RNA. The record is from the annotation of a GenBank genome assembly. NCBI's taxonomy places the organism in Eukaryota, Metazoa, Chordata, Amphibia, Anura, Pelobatidae.